RNAcentral lists this long non-coding RNA (1273 nucleotides) under Daucus carota (carrot). RNAcentral's name for it is "long non-coding RNA (DCAR_LNC005903)". Lineage: Eukaryota; Viridiplantae; Streptophyta; Magnoliopsida; Apiales; Apiaceae. The record is from RNAcentral.
CUCCUGAUAUUCUUUAAUCGAGCUUGUUUAUCACGUCUGUUGACGUGAGUAGUUAGUUUUUAUAUUUGCAAUUCAGUCUUUAAUACCCUUCUCUCCUUUUCUUCUAGUAUCGACCAAUUUCUCGCUUGCUCUCUUUGUGGCUGUUCAAAUUUUUCUGAAAACAUGUCUUCCGAAGUUUCUGCCAUUGGUUUCGAAGGUUUUGAAAAGAGGCUGGAAAUAUCGUUUUUCGAGCCAAGUUUCUUUGCUGACCCUGAAGGAAAGGGUUUACGUGUCCUUUCCAAAAACCAACUCGAUGAGUUUUUAGGACCUGCUGAAUGCACUAUCGUUGCGUCAUUGUCCAAUGAGCAUGUUGACUCCUACGUUCUCUCUGAGUCUAGCCUAUUUGUUUAUGCUUACAAGAUAAUCAUAAAAACUUGCGGGACAACAAAAUUGCUGAAGUCCAUCCCACCAAUCUUGAAGUUAGCUGAUUCUCUUUCCCUCACAGCCCGAUCUGUGCGGUAUACUCGUGGGUGCUUCAUUUUCCCAGGUGCUCAGUCCUACCCUCAUCGUAGUUUCUCAGAGGAAGUUUCUGUCCUUGAUAACUAUUUUGGAAAACUUGGCUCAGGCAGCAAAGCUUACAUUAUGGGUGGUUCCGACAAACAACAGAAAUGGCAUGUUUACUCUGCCUGUGCUGCAUCUACGCGCACUCUUGACCCGGUGUACACUAUGGAAAUGUGCAUGACUUCUCUGAACAGGGACAAGGCUUCUGUUUUCUAUAAAACCAAUUCAAGCUCAGCCACUUCGAUGACUGAUAACUCUGGUAUACGAGAUAUUCUUCCAAAUUCCAGGAUAUGUGAUUUUGAAUUUGACCCCUGUGGUUAUUCCAUGAAUGCUGUCGAGGGCCCUGCCGUCUCUACUAUUCACAUUACACCUGAAGAUGGUUUCAGUUAUUCAAGCUUUGAAGCUGUUGGAUAUGAUCCAAAAUCUGUUAAUCUCAGUGACCUUGUUGCCAGGGUUCUUAACUGUUUCCAACCUGGGGAGUUCUCUAUAGCUCUUCAAGCUGAUAUUGCAUCUGAACUACUCGAAAAGACCAGCUCUGUACACGUCAAGGGCUAUCGUGUGGAAGAGAAAACUUGCGAAGAGCUCGGAAUGGAUGGUUCCAUCGUCUACCAGAAGUUCGUGAAGACAACCGAAAGAUGUGAAUCUCCUCGAUCAGUCCUGAAAUGCUGCUGGAAGGAGGAAGAGAAAGAAGAAAAGGAGUAUCAAUAAAUUACGGGUUAUUUCUCUCUAUAUU